RNAcentral lists this ribosomal RNA (279 nucleotides) under uncultured bacterium. RNAcentral's name for it is "partial 16S ribosomal RNA". It matches the Rfam family "Bacterial small subunit ribosomal RNA", at positions 506 to 784 of the family's 1533-position model. The record is from RNAcentral.
UGCCAGCCGCCGCGGUAAUACGUAGGGUGCGAGCGUUGUUCGGAAUUACUGGGCGUAAAGGGUGUGUAGGCGGACUGGUCAGCCAGGGGUGAAAGCCCGGAGCUCAACUCCGGAACUGCUCUUGGAACUGCCAGUCUAGAGAGGGUCAGGGGCUAACGGAAUUCCUGGUGUAGAGGUGAAAUUCGUAGAUAUCAGGAGGAACACCGGUGGCGAAAGCGGUUAGCUAGGGCCAUUCUGACGCUGAGGCACGAAAGCGUGGGGAGCAAACAGGAUUAGAUA